GACAACUGGAUCUGAAGCGUAAUGAUGGUCUUCAGAAGGCCUCUCAUGGUGGUCUUGAUUCAGAGGUUUGAGAAGACUACCAAGCACCAGAGCCAGCUAACAGGUGGACCAAACAUCAAGCCAGAAUUCUGCAUGAGUCAGAAUUUAUGUCUUUUGAUAUUAUUGCCUAAUGCAACAAAUGGAAAAAAGCAUACUUUAUGACAACCUUAGCAGCAGAACACCAUGACUUUCUCCUGGGUAGACGAGAAAAAAAGUUUGGUAUCAACACCCAUCUAACAAUUAAGAAAGUUAUCUACAGCCACACAUCCACUGUAUACCAAGUUAUGAUGAUCAAUUAUGAGAAUGCAAAAUGAUUUAUAGAUCAGUAAACAAUCAACAAAAAGGUAAUGUCUUAAUUAAUAUAUUUCUGCUUUUGUUACUUAUUCAUGUAUUUGAAUUACAUCAUUCAAAAUCAAAUGUUAAUAAUUAUAGGGUUUCAACUUGUUGCAGCUUUACAAAAAAAUCUAGAAUUUGUAGGAGCAUGGACAACUGAGUAACAAAGUCAUAUUAUGCAGAUGGGUGCUCAUGGUGGCCUCCAAAUAAAUACAUGGACAGGCUGCUAAAGAGGGUCAGGAUGAUGGAGAUGCAAGAGCCAAAGACAGCACGGACCAAACACCAGGCCAGAAUUCUGCAUGAGUCAGUUUCCAGCCUUUUUCACAAAGUUGCCGACAACUGGAAGAAUGUCCCAAAUUGCUGAAAAAAGAAAUUCAAUUGAGUAAUUUUCACUCUAGAGACCCUGGGGUGACCACCAAGGACGAAUGAAAACUCCAGUGAGUGUCUCUAAGGUAGAUCCUAAUGCAGAUGGAUGGAAUGUUGAUCCGCCUAACAUGCAAGAUUUUCUGUACCGAGAACUUUGGAUGACCAUCAAGACAAGCACUCGUUUUGAGUCCUGAGACCCUGGGGUGACCACCGUGAACAAAUACAGACUGCAAAAAGGCAGUCUUGACGGUUCUAGGAUGAAUGCAAAUAAAGACUGACCACCUGACUUCAGCGGUCCAGUCUCUUGUGGGAAGCAGGUGUUUGUUACCCCAAAUACGGAUGAAGAGUGACGAAGAGGAUGAUGACUUU
Non-coding RNA from Misgurnus anguillicaudatus (oriental weatherfish), 1107 nucleotides. The record is from RefSeq and is a predicted model, not a curated record. NCBI's taxonomy places the organism in Eukaryota, Metazoa, Chordata, Actinopteri, Cypriniformes, Cobitidae.